Sus scrofa (pig) is the source of this 2301-nucleotide non-coding RNA. NCBI's taxonomy places the organism in Eukaryota, Metazoa, Chordata, Mammalia, Artiodactyla, Suidae. The record is from RefSeq and is a predicted model, not a curated record.
AUGGCGGCUGUGUUCUGUUCUCUGGCCACUGCACACAAGGGGCUGGUGCUCCAAGACUUUGCUUCACACAUGUAAGUUCCCCUGGACAGCAAACCGUUGAUGCUCUGUUGCUGUAUCCAGGUUCUUUUUUCUGUCUCAAGGCUGAGCUACUACAAGGCUCAGCAUGGGGUUUUGGAAGGAGACAUCAACCCAGAAACCUCAGUUAGGAUCCCAGCUCCUCUCAAAAUCCCCCACUUGGCCAGUUUGUUCGUCUGUAACGAAGAUAUGUCCUACUCUUGACCUUGCACUUCUCCAUGAUAACCACUGAUUGGCCCCAUUUUACGUAGAAUUGACAUAGAGGCUCAGAAAGAUGAAGUGACUUGCCCAAGGUAUUACAGCAAGUUGGGAUUCAGUCCAAUGCCUGAGUCCCCCAAUGCCAUGCUUUCUGUCCCACAGUGGGAGCCCUGGGCACAAUUUGACUGCUUUUUCACUUUUGGGAAGUGAAGUCCCAGCGCACAGCCCACCCAGGGGCAUCUGUGAUGCACACCAUCUCCCUUUGUGCCCUGGUUCUGCAUGCCUCCCACUGUGAGAACCCUGAGAAACAGGCAGAUGAGCAACCAUGGAUCCAGAUCCUUUGGAGUCACUUCCUGGCAGAUGCCACAUCUAAGGACAUCCCAUGCCCUGCCAAGGGCUGUUUGGAUAUUCCAGCAGACUCUGGAUCAGGGGAAGCAGCUCAGCUUGGAAACAGAAUUGUCCACAGAUAGAUAGAAAUAGAACCUGUGAGCUGAAAACUAUGACUGAUGCUCUGUUCCCUGGCCUGGCCCAGGGCUUCCUUCUGAUGAAGUCAGCACUGCUGUGAACAGCGAGGAUUGCCAGAGAUGCCUGCUCAGGUCUCAGAAAUAAGAACAGACGCCUGUCCAUUGACAGUUGUGUUCACUAGGGCUCUCUGUAUGCAGAUUUCUGCGGGGGAGGUGACAGAGAAUAAAAGACAUGGCACUUGAAACCAGCCGUCAAUUUCUGAACGUUGGGAAGGAGUGAGGACCAGUACUUCCCAGGAUCCAGUGCUGUCACCUGCUGAGCCCAAGUGGGAGGGUAUGGUGACACUGCUGUCAGGAGGGAUCAAGGCUCCCAAAGUCCAAAAUGCAGAAGAUAGCCACCAAGGAUUUGCUGAACAUGAGCCCAGGAAAGAGAACUCAGCUAGAAGACGCCAUCUAAAAACCAGCCAGAAACCAACUUCCAGCCUUCAGAACUGGUUCAGCACAAUCCAGCCAUCUGGACCAGGUACCCAGAAGGAGCCAAAAGAUGUCUCAGAAUCAAUGGGAAGCUUUCCCCAAGAGCUUUUUGGGGUGCAUCCAAAGGGACAGCGAUCUGGAUCCAGGUGGCCUGCAGCCUCCCACCCAGCAUCCCCCCAGCUCCGACUGCCUCGCCGACAGACGCUGCAGGAAGGGCAGCCUGGAAUCCGGUGAACUGGGAAAUCUGAGGAUGCAGCCUGUGGCAACUUGGUCCACACUCCAUGCUGGCCUGGUGGCCACCCUGAUUCACCAUCAGCGUGCAGGAAGAAGAGAGAAGGUUAGUCACAUCUUUUAGAGGCUGUGAUCUAAAGCAGCAUCUUGAGUACCUGAGCCGUUCUCCACAUCAACAUGACCAUAUUUUUAGCUUCUCCGGUGACACAGCCGGAAAGGUUUCAUUAAACAGCUGGGGGAAAGGCAGUUGGUAACUAGGAGUCCGCUGUUCUCACACGUAAAUCUCACACCUGAAGAAGCGCCCUGCCUAGGGCCCCCGGGGGACCUUCUUCCAGGCUGCGGGGCAGAGCUCUUGGGACUGACGAGGGACAGGUGAAGUGGGUAUAGGGUGGGUAGCCUCCAAGAGGUGCCCACUGAUCUUUGCCUCUGGGUGAACCUUAGGUAGUCCCCUCCCACAUUGUACCAGGUUUGUCUGCGUCGGGACCCAUCCAGGUGGGCAGAAGUGACAGUGCAUGACUUCCAAAACUGAGCCAUAAAAAGUACCAUGCUCUCCAAUCACCUUGGAAGGGGGUGGCUGCCAUAUUGUGAGGACACUCUAGCAGCCUGUGGAGCAACAUCCAUGGAGAGGAGCUGAAGCCCCUGGCCACCAGCCAGCACCAACUUCCCAGCCCUGUGAGUGAGCCACCUCGGAAGUAUAUUCUCAGCCCAGUCAAGGCAUCAGUUGCCUGCAGCCCAGGGCCAACCCUGUGACUGCAAUCUCAAGAGACACCCUGAGUCAGAACUACCCAGCUAAGCUGUUCCCAGAUUCUUGACACUCACAAACUAUGUAAAAAAUAAUAAAUAUUCAUUUUGGUAUCAA